Long non-coding RNA from Cyprinus carpio carpio, 747 nucleotides. The record is from Ensembl. NCBI's taxonomy places the organism in Eukaryota, Metazoa, Chordata, Actinopteri, Cypriniformes, Cyprinidae.
CAUAAACCCAACUAAACAGACAACUAUGUUUGCUUUGCUCAAGGCCUUCAGUUGAGACAAAUCGACAUGAUAGAAGAUGGCAUUGCUGGAAACUCAUUCACACUCAGCAGCAUGGCCAAAAAGGUUCGAGCUAUUUGUAAAGAUUCUAUAAAGCUGUAUACCAGAAGGAAGGGCCUAACAAUAGAACACCCCAGGGAGUUCAAUAUGAUUGAUGAAAGCAACUUUUGUCACAAGUGAAAGUAUGGACGUGGAAGUGUUCGCAAAGACUUGGCGUAGAAGAAAGUGGGUUUUGGGAUGCUGUGGGUUGCACCAGGAAAUAGCAAGCCCAUUCUAAAACUUGUUCAUCGAAGGUCCCGAAAUCACCGUAUCCCACUUAUUGUACAAUAUGUGCAUCCUGGAAGUUCCAUACUUAGUGAUGAAUGGCGUGCUUACAGAAGGGCAUUUACCAAUCGUGGCUAUAAUCACUUACCUGUGAAGCAUAAUAACUCUUUUGUAGAUCCAAGAACAGGCAGCCAUACAAAGAAACUGGAAAGAGCAUGGUUAAUUUCAAAGGGAACAUAUGGGGUCUUAGAGGACACAGAACAGAGGACCUACUAAAACAACAUCUAAAGCUGAUAGAGUAGACUUACUGGCUUGGAAACCGGCACAGAAAUGGUCCUCUUGGAAGACUGUUGACGGACAUUCAUUGAAAAUAUCACCUUUAAAACACGAAGCUGAUAACUUCCAAAGGUUAUCACUCACUAUUUG